Molecule: ribosomal RNA, 783 nt
Filed under: uncultured organism
Description: bacterial SSU rRNA
Rfam family: Bacterial small subunit ribosomal RNA
Source: RNAcentral
AGGAUGAAUGUUGGCGAUGUGCCUUAGGUAUGCAAGUCGAGCGGUCCGCCUUGGCGGACAGCGGCGAACGGGUGAGUAAUGCAUAGAUAACCUUCCUCGAAAUCAGGAAUAGCUUUGCGAAAGCGGAGGUAAUACCUGAUAGUCCAUAUUGUAUAAUUUACUUUAUGGUAAAGCUCCGGCGUUUCGAGAUGGGUCUAUGUCCUAUCAGCUUGUUGGUGAGGUAAAAGCCCACCAAGGCUAAGACGGGUAGCUGGCGUGAGAGCGCGGCCAGCCACAAUGGAACUGCGACACGGUCCAUACUCCUACGGGAGGCAGCAAUUAGGAAUCUUGCGCAAUGGGGGCAACCCUGACGCAGCGACAUCGCGUGGAGGAAGAAGGUCUUCGGAUUGUAAACUCCUUUUAUGUGGGAAGAAUGAAUGACGGUACCACAAGAAUAAGCACCUGCUAACUACGUGCCAGAAGCAUCGGUGAUGCGUAGGGUGCGAACAUUAUCCGGAGUGAUUGGGUGUAAAGAGAUGCGUAGGCAUUUUGAUAAGUCCAAUGUCAAAGCCCUCUGCUUAACGGAGGAAAGGCAAUGGAUACUAUCAGAAUAGAGUCAGAAAGGGGUGAGCGGAAUUUCCGGUGGAGCAGUGAAAUGCGUUGAUAUCGGGAGGAACACCAGAGGCGAAGGCGGCUCACUGGUUCUGUACUGACGCUAAGGCUCGAAAGCGUGAGGAGCAAAACGGAUUAGAUACCCGUGUAGUCCACGCUGUAAACUAUGUCCGCUAGGUGUUUGGUAUGACC